This 251-nucleotide ribosomal RNA is filed under the name uncultured prokaryote. RNAcentral's name for it is "partial 16S rRNA". It matches the Rfam family "Bacterial small subunit ribosomal RNA", at positions 525 to 775 of the family's 1533-position model. The record is from RNAcentral.
ACGGAGGGUGCGAGCGUUAAUCGGAAUCACUGGGCGUAAAGCGCACGUAGGCGGUGUCGUAAGUCGGAUGUGAAAGCCCUCGGCUCAACCGGGGAACUGCAUUCGAUACUGCGAUGCUUGAGUGCCGGAGAGGGUGGCGGAAUUCCAGGUGUAGCAGUGAAAUCCGUAGAUAUCUGGAGGAAGGCCAGUGGGGAAGGCGGCCACCUGGCCGGAAACUGACGCUGAUGUGGGAAAGCGUGUGGAUAAGUCUG